This 710-nucleotide ribosomal RNA is filed under the name uncultured archaeon. RNAcentral's name for it is "bacterial SSU rRNA". It matches the Rfam family "Archaeal small subunit ribosomal RNA", at positions 722 to 1431 of the family's 1478-position model. The record is from RNAcentral.
AACCGGAUUAGAUACCCGGGUAGUCCCAGCUGUAAACGAUGCAAACUCGGUGAUGCAUUGGCUUGUGGCCAAUGCAGUGCCGCAGGGAAGCCGUUAAGUUUGCCGCCUGGGAAGUACGUACGCAAGUAUGAAACUUAAAGGAAUUGGCGGGGGAGCACCACAAGGGGUGAAGCCUGCGGUUCAAUUGGAGUCAACGCCAGAAAUCUUACCCGGAGCGACAGCAGAAUGAAGGUCAAGCUGAAGACUUUACCAGACAAGCUGAGAGGUGGUGCAUGGCCGUCGCCAGCUCGUGCCGUGAGAUGUCCUGUUAAGUCAGGUAACGAGCGAGACCCCUGCUCCUAGUUGCUACCGUUACUUUCUGGAGUAGCGGAGCGAAUUAGUAGGACCGCCGCAGUUAAUGCGGAGGAAGGAAGGGGCCACGGCAGGUCAGUAUGCCCCGAAACUCUGGGGCCACACGCGGGCUGCAAUGGUAUUGACAAUGUGUUCCGAAUCCGAAAGGAGGAGGCAAUCAUCAAACAAUACCUCAGUUAUGAUUGAGGGCUGUAACUCGCCCUCAUGAAUAUGGAAUCCCUAGUAAUUGCGCGUCACUACCGCGCGGUGAAUACGUCCCUGCUCCUUGCACACACCGCCCGUCGUUUCAUUGAAGUUGGCUUUUAGUGAGGUAGUGUCUUGUUGGCAUUAUCGAGCUUGAGGUCAGUGACAAGGGAAAA